UAUGAAACCCUGAUCAAAGAGUUCAAAUUUCAAAUUCAAAAUUUGAAAUUCAAAAUUUUGACCUCGGUACCCAAAAUAUGUGGAACUCAUGAUCAGAGAAUCCUAAUUCUCAAUCAUAGAGUCCCAAACACAUAAGACUCAUAAUCAGCCAUCAGAUCAGAAAGGAACCUCUAAUGUGUGUGACCCCGCAGGUUCAAACCUAAGCCGGUAGCACAGGAACCAAUUCCUGUACUAAUCAAAGUGACCAUCUAGCAAUGGUACCC
This 263-nucleotide long non-coding RNA is filed under the name Elaeis guineensis (African oil palm). RNAcentral describes it as "long non-coding RNA (EGUI_LNC069360)". The record is from RNAcentral. Lineage: Eukaryota; Viridiplantae; Streptophyta; Magnoliopsida; Arecales; Arecaceae.